CACGAAUCAUCAUAAAGUAGGAAAGUAUAAUCAUGACAUGAACAUACUGAGAUACGAAGUAAUACUGUCCUGUACAAUCAAAAUACUAACGUUCGUACAUACUGGUACUCUAGUCUGACAAAGCCUCUACUACAUAAGACUGAAGAGCCAUUGGGACAGAUCCCCAACUGGCUCAUACUGAAUGGAAAAAUAAACAACCAUCAAUUAGCAAGACAAAAAUCAUGAACAUAGGUCCUCGAAACAUGAGGACUCACCAACUGCAGGAAUGUAGAUGAAGGUACUCGUAGAUCACUGUCGCGGCUGAGACUGAGCACCUGAACCUAUAUCACAAGGAAAUAUAGAAUACAAAAAAGUAUGGGAGUCAGUACUUAAGAAUGUACUGAGUUUGUGGGGAUGGAUGCAUCAUUUUAAAUAAUAUCAUAAAUGUAUAAGAAAAGCAUGCAUGCAAACAAUAACAACUCUCUUCACUUGGAUUAUCUAAAACAUCAUUUUCGGAAGUCAUCAGUAAUAACAUAUGUUUCAUAAAUCUCGUAAAUCAUUUAACUCAACUCAAACUCUUUGACUCAUGACUUAGAGUGACUCGGUAACUCAUGGUACUUAGAUCAUUAUGGAUGUGAGAGUUUCUUAUAACUGACAUAGCUACACCAUGUGAGCCGCAUGGAGUCCAACAUUUUUCCCUCCUAAAAAGAGAACCCCACAUUGGCAGGGGUAUCGUACUAUUGCCAGGGAGUACAAUCUCAAUCUCAUCAUCACAAUCUCAUACUCGGCCUUUGUCCCACAACUAUCAACAUCAAUCCUACGGUGGCACGUAGUUCUGGGGAAAUACCAAAUUUCCCACUCGGUGCUAAAUACUCCUCCCAGACUCAGCUUAGAAUGCGAUAGGAAAUCCACCUCAAUCAAUAUCAACUCAUGGGUCUAUCAUGAUGACCAAAACAACAGUGUAUCUCAUCGAUAAAUCAUAUACAACUAUGGAUUCCUAACUCGACUCAAAUUCAAAUAAUGUUUCUCAACAUCAAGUACAUUUGCUUAUCAAAUCAUUUCAAAUGCCAAAGCUUCAAGGAAACAUCAUCAAACUCAUUCUUGACUUUCAAUUCAAAUAUUGAUAUAUAUAUAUAUAUAUAUAUAUUCAAUAGUCAAAUUUCUCAUAGAAAAAUACAAAUCUUGACACUUAUCAUAAAUCACUUAGAAAUCAUCAAUAUAUAAUGACAAUAUACAUCUCAUGGAAUAAAUACUCAAUUUAUGAAGCAUGAUGGUGAAAUAACUAUAAAUAUCAAGCUUAUUCAACUCAAGUCUCAUAAAUCAUACAUAAAGAAAUUUAGGUGUUGCAAAAUCAUGUAAAUCAAUAAUAGAAAGUAAAUCUUUAGGCACAAGAACGAAAGAAGUGUUCUUGUUCAAACCCCACAUACCUUGGAUUUUGAUUUGAAGAUGUCGAAACUUGUUUGCAACUCUUCUGACACUUUUAGGCCAAGAUUCUUGAUGCCUUUGACUUAAGAAACUUAGUUCUUGAACAACUUGGACAAAGUCAUAAAAGUUUCUUUGAAUUUCUUGGAAGAAGAUUUGGAUUUUGGAUCUUGUAAAAACCCUAGUUUCUAGGAGAUUCAUGAAAGAUUGGAAGAGAAAGAAGAAGGAAAAUGAGUGGCUCUUCUCUACUUUGAUAUAUAUAAGACCACAUAGGGAGGAAAUGACCAAAAUGUCAUUUUUGAAAAUGCUGAAAUUUGCUGAUCGGGGCCUGUGACAGUUGACCUGACGGUCCGUCAGAGGAAACUGACAGUCCACCAAGUCGUCCGUCACUCGAGGGCCAAAAAUGAGACAUUCUAUCUCGACCUGACGAACCCCUUAACGGUCCGUCAACUUUUUGACGGUCCACCAACUUGGCCAUCGCACGAUGGCCUGAAAAAAGAAUCACUGCCUCAGCUUGACGGGGCACUUAACGGUCCACCAGGGACCUGACGGUCCACCAGGUCGACCAUCAAACCUGGGCGAUCCGACACCAUUCAGUAAAACAGCCAUAACUCCCUCAUCCGAUGUCGGAUCUCAAUGAAACUAGUUUCGAUGAAAAGCUUAUAGAAGUUAUACAUAUCCACUCAAAAGACGGAUUUAGGCUUAGGAAACGAUCGAGGUAUUACACUUAGACAUUCGUCUGAGAACUUUGAAUACCAAUUGUUUGGGCUAGUGAAAUACCAAUUAUUUGGAUCUAGUGAAAUAUAAAUUGUUUAACGUCACAACUCUUCAAGAAAUACCAAUUGUUUAGCUCCCACAAUUG
This 2263-nucleotide long non-coding RNA is filed under the name Capsicum annuum. Its description in RNAcentral is "long non-coding RNA (CANN_LNC000955)". The record is from RNAcentral. Lineage: Eukaryota; Viridiplantae; Streptophyta; Magnoliopsida; Solanales; Solanaceae.